RNAcentral lists this ribosomal RNA (96 nucleotides) under Vibrio vulnificus. The record is from RNAcentral. Lineage: Bacteria; Pseudomonadati; Pseudomonadota; Gammaproteobacteria; Vibrionales; Vibrionaceae.
CUUGGCGACCAUAGCGUUUUGGACCCACCUGAUUCCAUUCCGAACUCAGAAGUGAAACGAAAUAGCGUCGAUGGUAGUGUGGGGUUUCCCCAUGUG